AUGUUACCCAAGUACCAUCAGCAGUACCAUCACCAGUUGUUCAGUCAUCCCUCUGUCGUCAUCAGCUCGGCUGCAUCGGCCGACUCGACUUCGGCCGUCAAUUACAGCAGUUCCCACGUGGCUAACAAUUCCUCCAACUCGUCUAGUUCCCCGCCCUCGUCCCUAGUUAGUGCGGCUUCCAGGAUGUACCCCUACGUCCACCACAAUCAGGCCCAGGUGGCGGCAGCUUUCGCGGGGGGCGGCCCCGGGUCCAUGGGGGCCUUUUCCUCGCAGACCUCGGCCAAUUUGGCGGCGGCCCUCGACGCCGUCUCCGGGGACAAAUCGUGUCGCUACACCGGGAGCAUCCCCAGCCGGACUCGAUGGUCUACAACCCCCUGCAGAACGGUUCGUCGGCGGCCAUUUCGGCCACCCCCUCGUCCAUCGUGUCGCAGUUUUACCAGGCCUCGGCCAUGGACCACCUCUCCACGUGCACCACCCCCGCCAGCUCGGGCACCACCGGACAGCAGAUGGGUGACAUUCCUAGGUACCCGUGGAUGCAUUUAUCAGCGGCUGAACUUCGAUCACGGGACCUCUCCACAGCAAGUUCACUAUCCUGUCCAAUCGACCAAAGAGGCCUGCUAUCGUAUUUUGAGAAAGAAUGGAUAAAUCCUUUUGAUCGAGUCGUAUGUGGUGAGUACUGAUUUCAUUAUUCUUCUUUCUAUUCUCCCUCUUUCCUAUCUCCAACUCUUGGUUUUUUUCAUGAAAAUUCCAAAAAAUUAACUCUUUUAAAGUUAUGUUGCGUUUGCUGUUAGUUUUCCUAUGUUUCUUCUCUUGACGUUAUAUUUUGAUUUUAUCUCUUCUUUAAAAAACGCGUCUCUUCGCCGGACCUUGUAAUGUUCAGCUAGGUCCUUUUACUCUCCUAAAAAGUUAAUUUGAAACAAAAAGGAGUAUAAAGGUACAAAUUGCAGGUAUUUAAUGGUGUUACUUUGAUGAAAUCUGGGUUGUCCAUUUACCUUCUUUUUUUUUUGUGGAACAAAACGCAUCGACCUUUUUAAGUUUCCAAUUCUAGUUUGAACGGCUCCAUGCAGAUUUUAUCGUGAUCCCUAUUCCGUCAUCAAACAUUCCUUGCGCCAGCUUGUCCCAAAGAGCUGUAAAAUAUAAAAUAAAAUAAGUGAAUAAUUGAAUUAUACUGAAGUAGAC
This 1179-nucleotide long non-coding RNA is filed under the name Bemisia tabaci. RNAcentral describes it as "lncRNA ENSASIAIIG004968". Lineage: Eukaryota; Metazoa; Arthropoda; Insecta; Hemiptera; Aleyrodidae. The record is from RNAcentral.